Gossypium raimondii (Peruvian cotton) is the source of this 130-nucleotide non-coding RNA. The record is from Rfam. Lineage: Eukaryota; Viridiplantae; Streptophyta; Magnoliopsida; Malvales; Malvaceae.
UAUUAAAAGAUUCAUCCAUUUCUACUGUUAAAACUAGCACGAAUGACAGAAUAAUCGGGCAGUUACACAAGGUGUGCCACGUGUACCUCAUACUAACAUACAAAAGUAAAAAUGGAUGAGAGUUUUAACA